CCCUUAGAUGUUCUGGGCUGCACGCGCGCUACACUGAUGCGUUCAACGAGUUUAUGACCUUGCCCGAUAGGGUUGGGUAAUCUUUUUAAAUCGCAUCGUGAUGGGGAUAGAUUAUUGCAAUUAUUAAUCUUCAACGAGGAAUUCCUAGUAAGCGCGAGUCAUCAGCUCGUGCUGAUUACGUCCCUGCCCUUUGUACACACCGCCCGUCGCUCCUACCGAUUGAAUGAUCCGGUGAGGCCCCCGGAUUGUGGCAAUGGCUCUGGUUCGCCAGACCAAUGCUGCGAGAAGCUGUCCAAACCUUAUCAUUUAGAGGAAGGAGAAGUCGUANCA
Molecule: ribosomal RNA, 330 nt
Filed under: uncultured eukaryote
Lineage: Eukaryota
Description: partial 18S ribosomal RNA
Rfam family: Eukaryotic small subunit ribosomal RNA
Source: RNAcentral